This 468-nucleotide ribosomal RNA is filed under the name uncultured bacterium. RNAcentral describes it as "partial 16S ribosomal RNA". It matches the Rfam family "Bacterial small subunit ribosomal RNA", at positions 28 to 507 of the family's 1533-position model. The record is from RNAcentral.
GACGAACGCUGGCGGCGUGCUUAACACAUGCAAGUCGAACGGCAAGGCCCUGCUUUUGUGGGGUGCUCGAGUGGCGAACGGGUGAGUAACACGUGAGUAACCUGCCCUUGACUUUGGGAUAACUUCAGGAAACUGGGGCUAAUACCGGAUAGGAGCUCCUGCUGCAUGGUGGGGGUUGGAACGUUUCGGCGGUUGGGGAUGGACUCGCGGCUUAUCAGCUUGUUGGUGGGGUAGUGGCUUACCAAGGCUUUGACGGGUAGCCGGCCUGAGAGGGUGACCGGCCACAUUGGGACUGAGAUACGGCCCAGACUCCUACGGGAGGCAGCAGUGGGGAAUAUUGCACAAUGGGCGGAAGCCUGAUGCAGCAACGCCGCGGGCGGGAUGACGGCCUUCGGGGUGUAAACCGCUUUCGCCUGUGACGAAGCGUGAGUGACGGUAAUGGGUAAAGAAGCACCGGCUAACUACGUG